Molecule: ribosomal RNA, 482 nt
Filed under: uncultured bacterium
Lineage: Bacteria
Description: partial 16S ribosomal RNA
Rfam family: Bacterial small subunit ribosomal RNA
Source: RNAcentral
AUUGAACGCUGGCGGCAUGCUUUACACAUGCAAGUCGAACGGUAACAGGCCGCAAGGUGCUGACGAGUGGCGCACGGGUGAGUAAUGCAUCGGAACGUGCCCAGUCGUGGGGGAUAACUACUCGAAAGAGUAGCUAAUACCGCAUACGAUCUAUGGAUGAAAGCGGGGGACCGUAAGGCCUCGCGCGAUUGGAGCGGCCGAUGUCAGAUUAGGUAGUUGGUGGGGUAAAGGCUCACCAAGCCAACGAUCUGUAGCUGGUCUGAGAGGACGACCAGCCACACUGGGACUGAGACACGGCCCAGACUCCUACGGGAGGCAGCAGUGGGGAAUUUUGGACAAUGGGCGCAAGCCUGAUCCAGCAAUGCCGCGUGCAGGAAGAAGGCCUUCGGGUUGUAAACUGCUUUUGUACGGAACGAAACGGCUCUGGUUAAUACCCGGGGCUAAUGACGGUACCGGAAGAAUAAGCACCGGCUAACUACGUG